RNAcentral lists this transfer RNA (88 nucleotides) under Planctomycetota bacterium. RNAcentral describes it as "Planctomycetes bacterium tRNA-Ser". It matches the Rfam family "tRNA". From Rfam's summary of the family: Transfer RNA (tRNA) molecules are approximately 80 nucleotides in length. Their secondary structure includes four short double-helical elements and three loops (D, anti-codon, and T loops). Further hydrogen bonds mediate the characteristic L-shaped molecular structure. tRNAs have two regions of fundamental functional importance: the anti-codon, which is responsible for specific mRNA codon recognition, and the 3' end, to which the tRNAs corresponding amino acid is attached (by aminoacyl-tRNA synthetases). tRNAs cope with the degeneracy of the genetic code in two manners: having more than one tRNA (with a specific anti-codon) for a particular amino acid; and 'wobble' base-pairing, i.e. permitting non-standard base-pairing at the 3rd anti-codon position. The record is from RNAcentral. Lineage: Bacteria; Pseudomonadati; Planctomycetota.
GGAGAGGUGUCCGAGUGGCCGAAGGAGCACGCUUGGAAAGCGUGUGUGUCGCAAGGCACCGUGGGUUCGAAUCCCACCCUCUCCGCCA